This 253-nucleotide ribosomal RNA is filed under the name uncultured bacterium. Its description in RNAcentral is "partial 16S ribosomal RNA". It matches the Rfam family "Bacterial small subunit ribosomal RNA", at positions 524 to 776 of the family's 1533-position model. The record is from RNAcentral.
UACGUAGGGUGCAAGCGUUGUCCGGAAUUAUUGGGCGUAAAGAGCUCGUAGGCGGUCUGUCGCGUCGGAUGUGAAAACCCAGGGCUCAACCCUGGGCCUGCAUUCGAUACGGGCAGACUAGAGUUCGGUAGGGGAGACUGGAAUUCCUGGUGUAGCGGUGAAAUGCGCAGAUAUCAGGAGGAACACCGGUGGCGAAGGCGGGUCUCUGGGCCUUACCUGACGCUGAGGCGCGAAAGCUAGGGGAGCGAACAGG